UACGGAGGGAGCAAGCGUUGUUCGGAUUUACUGGGCGUAAAGGGCGCGUAGGCGGCCUGCUAAGUCGGACGUGAAAUCCCUCGGCUCAACCGGGGAACUGCGUCCGAUACUGGUGGGCUCGAAUCCGGGAGAGGGAUGUGGAAUUCCAGGUGUAGCGGUGAAAUGCGUAGAUAUCGAGAGGAACACCUGCGGCGAAGGCGGGUAGCUGGGCCGACACUGACGCUGAUGCGCGAAAGCCAGGGGAGCGAACGGG
This 253-nucleotide ribosomal RNA is filed under the name uncultured bacterium. RNAcentral describes it as "partial 16S ribosomal RNA". It matches the Rfam family "Bacterial small subunit ribosomal RNA", at positions 524 to 776 of the family's 1533-position model. The record is from RNAcentral.